This 441-nucleotide ribosomal RNA is filed under the name uncultured bacterium. Its description in RNAcentral is "bacterial SSU rRNA". It matches the Rfam family "Bacterial small subunit ribosomal RNA", at positions 340 to 774 of the family's 1533-position model. The record is from RNAcentral.
UACGGAAGGCAGCAGUGGGGAAUAUUGCACAAUGGGCGCAAGCCUGAUGCAGCCAUGCCGCGUGUAUGAAGAAGGCCUUCGGGUUGUAAAGUACUUUCAGUCGUGAGGAAGGUGUUAAGGUUAAUAACCUUAGCAAUUGACGUUAGCGACAGAAGAAGCACCGGCUAACUCCGUGCCAGCAGCCGCGGUAAUACGGAGGGUGCGAGCGUUAAUCGGAAUUACUGGGCGUAAAGGGCACGCAGGCGGUUAAUUAAGUUGGAUGUGAAAUCCCCGGGCUUAACCUGGGAAUGGCAUUCAAGACUGGUUAGCUAGAGUCUUGUAGAGGGGGUUAGAAUUCCAUGUGUAGCGGUGAAAUGCGUAGAGAUGUGGAGGAAUACCGGUGGCGAAGGCGGCCCCUGGACAAAGACUGACGCUCAUGUGCGAAAGCGUGGGGAGCGAAAC